AGCAGUAGCCGCGGUAAUACGUGGGUGGCAAGCGUUAUCCGGAAUUAUUGGGCGUAAAGCGCGCGUAGGUGGUUUUUUAAGUCUGAUGUGAAAGCCCACGGCUCAACCGUGGAGGGUCAUUGGAAACUGGAAAACUUGAGUGCAGAAGAGGAAAGUGGAAUUCCAUGUGUAGCGGUGAAAUGCGCAGAGAUAUGGAGGAACACCAGUGGCGAAGGCGACUUUCUGGUCUGUAACUGACGCUGAUGUGCGAAAGCGUGUGGAUCAAACAGGAUUAGAUACCCCUGUAGUCCCUGUCUCUUAUAA
RNAcentral lists this ribosomal RNA (303 nucleotides) under uncultured bacterium. RNAcentral describes it as "partial 16S ribosomal RNA". It matches the Rfam family "Bacterial small subunit ribosomal RNA", at positions 507 to 809 of the family's 1533-position model. The record is from RNAcentral.